GCUUCGCAGACGGUUUGCACGGCAGGUGGUGCCUGAUCCUCCUCUGCGCUCCGCGGGCUUAGCUGGAGCAGCCUGGGCACACAGGUUGGUCCAGAAGAGCUCAGACCUGCUGGUCUUCCAGCUGUGGCUGAGGCUAAGCGCAGCUCAGAGAGCCAUCAGGAACAGGAACCUCAUCAUGAGCAGCCCUGGCCGGAGACACAAUUUUGAGGGAAGGCUACAGCAACCUCAUGUUUAGAAAAGAUGCUUGAACUCCCCUCCUAAGUGGUCAUGGAAGCUAUUUUCAUCUUCAGCUGCUGCAGAUUUGUUCCUGAGAUGGUGGCUGCACCAAGUGGCUGACACAGACCUGAGAAUCAA
Molecule: long non-coding RNA, 354 nt
Organism: Pygoscelis adeliae (Adelie penguin)
Lineage: Eukaryota; Metazoa; Chordata; Aves; Sphenisciformes; Spheniscidae
Exons: 2
Source: RefSeq, a predicted model, not a curated record